AUCAACUUAACUGAUCUAAUUGAAUUUCAGAUUAAAAAAUAGAGCUUGUCUAAAGUAGUUAUGGUUAUGAUUGAGGUUUGGGAGUUUGGAGGGGUGGAAGGUCUAAUUCUUAUCUAUCUAUCUGAUUUAUCUGAUUGACUGCAUCAGUUCUUUCCCGACUUCAAUCUAUGAGCUCUGAAGCUCUUGUCUGGUCUGUUUGAAGGCCUGAAAUAGCUGCGCAGUUCAGUUGAUGUAUGCAAAACACCCAUCAGCCAAAUUGUUAAUUGACAGAAUUUGAGGAUCUCUAAGAUUUUCCUAUGUUUUUGUAUCUAAGUGACUGAUGGGUACAACAAUCUUUGAAAAUGGUCCAGUAUUUAGUGAGAACGCUGCAACCUGCAGUAGCAAACCGGGCUGCAAUGUGUAUCCUAUGGGGCAAAUGUGCAUCGUCAAUUUUGUCAGCUAAAAGUGCAGUUUUCUCCACUGACAGAUUCAGAUUGUUAUUCUAAGUGUCUGAUUAUUGAAAAGAUAGACCUUAAAAAAAAAAUCCUCUUUGUUACCAGAAACUGCUCCGGGAUAGCUGUUGCCAAACCUACCAGACUCCAUUUAAAUAAACAGUUUUAGCGUGUAUGGAGAAAACAUAAUCUCAUAAUUAAAUCAGUAAAAUGAUGUGUUCAUUUAACCAACCCCGAGUAGUGAUGUUGGAAAAGUGUAAAGACUAACCAAGACGACUUUUCAUAGUUCAUAGUUUAGUCCGCUUUGAAUGAAGUGUGUUUUAAAUGACAACAUCACUGUUUAUUGACAUGGAGUCUGGUGGGUUUAAAUUGUUGUUCCCAUCAAUCACGUAGACACAAAACAUGCAAAAAUUGGGUCUAGGUUGAAGAGAAAAGACAGUUACCCUUUAAACUAGAGUCCACAAAGAUCCCCUUGCAACUCUGAGAACACACACAUGCUUCCUCAUCUAACUGCUAUAUUCGUGUACUGUGUGAAAUAACCAACACACACACACACACACACACAAACACACACACUCUUGUUAUCUCACCCUGAUGGCCUUUGAGCAUGUCAUGUUAACCUGGGCGAGGGGGAUGGCUGGGACACAAAGAGAAGACGUGUCCUGGAGAAGAGACACAGUAAUUGGAGAUCUUGUGUAUGUGUGUUGAUACAGUAGAACUACACACACGUGUGUGGAUCACAUAACCUCAUCACGAUGCCGACGUGUUGGUUUCAGAGUCUGUACAUGUGUGUUUGUGUGUAGAACAGAUUCCUGCAGCGUUGAUGAAGUACAUUGUAUUGAUGUAGCAAUAAUUAUAAUAAUAAUAAUAAUAAUGAUUAGUUAGAAGAAAGUUAAUGAGGCUGUUUAACUCAAUGUGUACUGACUGAAGUAUUGAAAACAAUAUAACUAACUUUAUAGCUCAGUGAUGCUUAUACAUGUGUGUGAAAACAACAAUGGUGUCCGGCAGGUGCUACUGACCAUGGCUCGUAGUUGUGCUUUUCCAGACCAGUGAUGGCGUUCCUCUCGGCCUUUGAGUGUAACUGUGUGUUUCUAAACUAACACAGGAAGACGUCCGAUACGUGUUCUUUUUACUCCGCUUUUGUACUCUUGUAUUCAUCACUCUACGUAAUGUUGCGUUUGGACCAAACUUGACAAAAGUGAUGCUGAGAUAAGACAACACACAGGACUAAAGCUAAGAUUAGAUUCAAAUCUAUUCUCUGGCCAAGCAAAUCCCACAGCCAACGUUGGUUGAUUUUCAGCUUUUGUUAUAUUUGUACAUGUCUAAAAAUCAUCAUUCGGCUUCAGCAAGGCUAAUUUUUCUUAGUCCCCAAGAAAUUGUGGGUGAUUUGUAGAGGAAAGGUUCCUAAAGACUGACGUCUAGGGCUGUCCGCGAGUAAAGACGUUCUUAGUCCAUUAACACUCCUAUGGUUUUAUCAACAAUUUAUUUAAUUUAUUGAACAGAGUUUUUCCACAAAGAAUCAUGCAGAACCACCACUUUAAAUCUUGUGUUUACCAGAGAUGUGCUCAUAGCUUUCUUGGAAAUAAGUCUUUCAGCACGAAAAAGCAACAAAAAAACAUUGUUAUCAAAUAAAGUAAUAAAAUUAGUCACCUAAUCAACUAAAAGAGGGCAGCCGUAUUGAUGUCAUUUCAAAAAGUACAAGUAGGACAGGUGUGUUUGGAAAGGUUCAAUGCCAUUUAUUAGUAUUCAUAAUCUAGAGGAUUUGAACAAAUUUUGAACAAAGCAGGUGUGAGACUGCAACAUUUGGAAACUUUAGAAAAGAAGACAUUUUCAAUGUUUAUUCUGCUGUUUGAGGGAGGCAGGAAGGGGGGCCGACUGACGGGAGGCGAGGAUCCCGGACCCUGGGCCCUUCUUUAAGUUCACGUGUAGGACUACAGUAUUUUCUGAAUGGCGUCCCAUACAUUUGUACAUUGUUUCGCUGCCUUUCAUUUAUUUCCACAUUCUUUCUUUUUUUCUUUUUCUUUUUUUUUUAAAUACCAUUUACCUCUUUUAUACCACUUUUUCCCCAUCCUGCUCCUGCUGCUCCAGCGGAGGCUGAAGGUGGGGGGAGCCACAGAGCUGAUGUACUGAGUCAUUGCCACAGGAUGAGGUUGACCUAGUAACAAUUCCAUGCGUUCCAAGUGUUUGUGUGUGUGUUUGGGAGAAGGCAUACGUUUCUAAAAGUAGAUGACAUAUAUUGAAGAGAGAGCAAAGGUUGAAGGGAAGAAGAAGA
Long non-coding RNA from Etheostoma cragini (Arkansas darter), 2703 nucleotides. RefSeq lists it as uncharacterized. Lineage: Eukaryota; Metazoa; Chordata; Actinopteri; Perciformes; Percidae. The record is from RefSeq and is a predicted model, not a curated record. The transcript has 2 exons.